UAAGCUCUAAAAGAGUUGAAAGGGUUUUGGCAUCGAAUGGCGCGAAAGAGAGUGGAAACGAAGUCAAAAAUGACAUUCUGGAUGCCUUGUACCGGUACAAGACCAAUGGUUGUACCGGUACAACCAGCGAAGUACUCGGCUUGGAGCUGCCAGGCCUUGUACCGGUACAAGGGGUCUUGUACCGGUACAAGACCUGCGAAACCGAGAAACCGAGCUCUCGGUUUGGCUGUCUGCCAGGCCCUGUACCGGUACAAGAAACCGUGUACCGGUACAAGGAGCCCGAGCAGCGGGAUAUGUUUCAGAUAUGGGAAAAAUAGAGGGGCUUUUUGGGAUUUGUU
This 338-nucleotide long non-coding RNA is filed under the name Ananas comosus (pineapple). RNAcentral describes it as "long non-coding RNA (ACOM_LNC035229)". Lineage: Eukaryota; Viridiplantae; Streptophyta; Magnoliopsida; Poales; Bromeliaceae. The record is from RNAcentral.